GCUCAAUGAUUUUUUAAAUUGCUGCGGUAUUUUGACUGUGCUAAGGUAGCGAAGUCAUUUGUUUCUUUAUUGGGAACUUGUAUGAGUGGAGUAAUAGGUGCUUUUAUGAAUUGAGCUUAAAGUGAAUUUGAUUUUUCUAAGAAAAGUUAGAAGUUUUCCUAAAGACGAGAAGACCCCAAAAUCUUUAUUUUAAUUUAUAGGAUUUAAUUUUUAUUUGGGGGAAAGAUUGAUUUUUAUUUAUUGUUUUAUUAUUGCGAACUUUUUUAGGGUGUAUGGAUAGAUACUUUGGGGGUAACAGGAUUAUUUUCUUUUGAAGUUCUUAUUUUAGGGGAAGUUUAUUACCUCGAUGUUGGCUUUUGAUUUUAGUUGGGGGUAGCUUUUCAAACUAAUAGUCUGUUCGACUAUUAAAAUUGAACAUGAUCUGAGUUCAGACCGG
RNAcentral lists this ribosomal RNA (436 nucleotides) under Demodex folliculorum. RNAcentral describes it as "partial 16S ribosomal RNA". It matches the Rfam family "Archaeal large subunit ribosomal RNA", at positions 1987 to 2688 of the family's 2987-position model. The record is from RNAcentral. Lineage: Eukaryota; Metazoa; Arthropoda; Arachnida; Trombidiformes; Demodicidae.